CACGCCCCCAGCUGGAGGACUGGUGGCGCCCGGAGAGUGUGGCGCGCUCAGGCAGCCGCAGGUGCUCGCUUAGCCUAGGGGACCGGUGGAGGAACCACUAGGGUGAGGUCGCAGGGUGCCUUGACGCCCCGCGCCAGUCCUGGGACUGGCCCCCAUCCUGCUAAGCCGAAGACUGCGGACUCUGAGGAAGGGCGCCACCGCCUGGCAUCGUCCCGCGCGCUGGGGCAGAACGGCCACGCCAGACACCUGUCUCUCGAGAGGCCUGAGAAGGGCUUAGGGGCCCAGACAAUGCUUAGCCCAGACGCAGGGGAGCUGCUGCCCAGAAGGCAGGGCCCCGCGACAGCAUGCAGUGGGGGCUUUGUCUCCCACGGGGUCAGGUUGUCACCUGUGUCCCCAAAACACAGGCGGGCCCUGCAGAAAGACACAGGUGUCGCUGGGCAGCGGGAAGCUGGGGCACAGAGUGACUGCCCCCACGAGAUUCAGCCAAGAGUGGGCAAGGAAUCAACCGAAUAGACCAGGGCCUCGAGAGGGUGAAGCCGCGGUGGGUGGGAGGUCAGGCAAGAAGUCUGCAUGGCUGCCUGCUCCCCGCCAUCCUCCCACCAGCACCGUCCUCCCCAGCACUGCUGUCCUAGCCUGGCCACCAAAAGCCUCUCCGGAUUGGAAUGUGACUUGGUCACUUCUGGUGGCCGCUGAUCCACGUGACGGGCACAGCCCGGGGAGACCUGGGACUUCCUAUACGGUGCCAGCAGGUGAUCAUGGACACCGGGUGCAGACCCAGCCUCUGACCUGGACACAGAGUUUCCACUUGCUUCGGGAGGACGCUGCUGCCUCAUCUUCCAGGUCGAAGGCCACCGCGCUGGGCUGGAAUGAAGGCCCCACUGGCUCAGCUCCAGGCACAGGCCCAAGGCACUGAGUCUACAGAGCAGGAACAAGUUUCUGUGUCUACUCCAGCAAGUACUUGCAAGGAUUUCUCUCCCUGGUCCCAGAGACCCCAGUGCCUCUGCCUUCCAGUUAGCAUUGUAGACAGCUAAGUCAGCUAAAAAUAUUAUAGGCCAUCAGACAGGACUGGACUUGAAGUUAAUGUGGAGGGGCCGGGGAUUUAGCUCAGUGGCCCUGUGCCUGCCUCAUAAGUGCAAGGUCAUGAGUUCGAUCCGUGGUAUCAAAAAAAGAGUCAGUGUGAAAGAUAAAAACAGUAUCACAACUGUGGCUGCAGACACAUUCGUUGAAGGCAAGGCUGAAAAACUGACUAUACCUGCAUACCUCCCCUGGGAUAAACAGCAGUGACUGAUAUUCUAAAUAGGCAUCAAUCACCUUCGGUAGAGACCAAAACCUCCCUGGCCCAUUCCUUCUUGGAAAAUCCUUUUGUUCCGUGUAGGCUCACAACUUGCUUCUUGCUUCCCCAUUUGAUCCCAAUUUAAUCAAUAUUAUCUAAGUGACUGUUCUUGUAAUCUGAUAGGUAGUCCAUAGUUUUGUGCCACCUUGUACCCUGCCUCACCUCAGGCUUUGCUCUAUAAAACUCCCUUGAGAAGCAGGGUCCCCGGCAACCCACUUUCUAGGCUCCCUCCAGUCUCUCUUAGAAGCUAUCUUUCUCUCAAU
Molecule: long non-coding RNA, 1596 nt
Organism: Fukomys damarensis (Damara mole-rat)
Lineage: Eukaryota; Metazoa; Chordata; Mammalia; Rodentia; Bathyergidae
Source: Ensembl